RNAcentral lists this ribosomal RNA (701 nucleotides) under Lactiplantibacillus plantarum. Its description in RNAcentral is "bacterial SSU rRNA". It matches the Rfam family "Bacterial small subunit ribosomal RNA", at positions 799 to 1506 of the family's 1533-position model. The record is from RNAcentral. Lineage: Bacteria; Bacillati; Bacillota; Bacilli; Lactobacillales; Lactobacillaceae.
GCUUUGAUGAUGCUAGUGUUGGAGGGUUUCCGCCCUUCAGUGCUGCAGCUAACGCAUUAAGCAUUCCGCCUGGGGAGUACGGCCGCAAGGCUGAAACUCAAAGGAAUUGACGGGGGCCCGCACAAGCGGUGGAGCAUGUGGUUUAAUUCGAAGCUACGCGAAGAACCUUACCAGGUCUUGACAUACUAUGCAAAUCUAAAAGAUUAGACGUUCCCUUCGGGGACAUGGAUACAGGUGGUGCAUGGUUGUCGUCAGCUCGUGUCGUGAGAUGUUGGGUUAAGUCCCGCAACGAGCGCAACCCUUAUUAUCAGUUGCCAGCAUUAAGUUGGGCACUCUGGUGAGACUGCCGGUGACAAACCGGAGGAAGGUGGGGAUGACGUCAAAUCAUCAUGCCCCUUAUGACCUGGGCUACACACGUGCUACAAUGGAUGGUACAACGAGUUGCGAACUCGCGAGAGUAAGCUAAUCUCUUAAAGCCAUUCUCAGUUCGGAUUGUAGGCUGCAACUCGCCUACAUGAAGUCGGAAUCGCUAGUAAUCGCGGAUCAGCAUGCCGCGGUGAAUACGUUCCCGGGCCUUGUACACACCGCCCGUCACACCAUGAGAGUUUGUAACACCCAAAGUCGGUGGGGUAACCUUUUAGGAACCAGCCGCCUAAGGUGGGACAGAUGAUUAGGGUGAAGUCUCAAAGGGGGGCCCAAAA